Molecule: ribosomal RNA, 94 nt
Filed under: Clostridia bacterium
Lineage: Bacteria; Bacillati; Bacillota; Clostridia
Description: partial 23S ribosomal RNA
Rfam family: Bacterial large subunit ribosomal RNA
Source: RNAcentral
AGACCCCUUGCAGACUACAAGGUUGAUAGGUCAUGGGUGGAAGUGCAGUAAUGCAUGCAGCUGAAUGAUACUAAUCGGUCGAGGGCUUGUACUG